Molecule: ribosomal RNA, 218 nt
Filed under: uncultured bacterium
Lineage: Bacteria
Description: partial 16S ribosomal RNA
Rfam family: Bacterial small subunit ribosomal RNA
Source: RNAcentral
UAAUGUAUGGGGAUCUGCCCGAUAGAGGGGAUAACUACUGGAAACGGUGGCUAAUACCGCAUAAUGUCUACGGACCAAAGCAGGGGCUCUUCGGACCUUGCACUAUCGGAUGAACCCAUAUGGGAUUAGCUAGUGGUGGGGUAAAGGCUCACCUAGGCGACGAUCUCUAGCUGGUCUGAGAGGAUGAUCAGCCACACUGGGACUGAGACACGGCCCAG